AAAUUGAAGAGUUUGAUCAUGGCUCAGAUUGAACGCUGGCGGCAGGCCUAACACAUGCAAGUCGAGCGGUAGCACAGAGAGCUUGCUCUCGGGUGACGAGCGGCGGACGGGUGAGUAAUGUCUGGGAAACUGCCUGAUGGAGGGGGAUAACUACUGGAAACGGUAGCUAAUACCGCAUAAUGUCGCAAGACCAAAGUGGGGGACCUUCGGGCCUCAUGCCAUCAGAUGUGCCCAGAUGGGAUUAGCUAGUAGGUGGGGUAACGGCUCACCUAGGCGACGAUCCCUAGCUGGUCUGAGAGGAUGACCAGCCACACUGGAACUGAGACACGGUCCAGACUCCUACGGGAGGCAGCAGUGGGGAAUAUUGCACAAUGGGCGCAAGCCUGAUGCAGCCAUGCCGCGUGUGUGAAGAAGGCCUUCGGGUUGUAAAGCACUUUCAGCGGGGAGGAAGGCGAUAAGGUUAAUAACCUUGUCGAUUGACGUUACCCGCAGAAGAAGCACCGGCUAACUCCGUGCCAGCAGCCGCGGUAAUACGGAGGGUGCAAGCGUUAAUCGGAAUUACUGGGCGUAAAGCGCACGCAGGCGGUCUGUCAAGUCGGAUGUGAAAUCCCCGGGCUCAACCUGGGAACUGCAUUCGAAACUGGCAGGCUAGAGUCUUGUAGAGGGGGGUAGAAUUCCAGGUGUAGCGGUGAAAUGCGUAGAGAUCUGGAGGAAUACCGGUGGCGAAGGCGGCCCCCUGGACAAAGACUGACGCUCAGGUGCGAAAGCGUGGGGAGCAAACAGGAUUAGAUACCCUGGUAGUCCACGCCGUAAACGAUGUCGAUUUGGAGGUUGUGCCCUUGAGGCGUGGCUUCCGGAGCUAACGCGUUAAAUCGACCGCCUGGGGAGUACGGCCGCAAGGUUAAAACUCAAAUGAAUUGACGGGGGCCCGCACAAGCGGUGGAGCAUGUGGUUUAAUUCGAUGCAACGCGAAGAACCUUACCUGGUCUUGACAUCCACAGAACUUAGCAGAGAUGCUUUGGUGCCUUCGGGAACUGUGAGACAGGUGCUGCAUGGCUGUCGUCAGCUCGUGUUGUGAAAUGUUGGGUUAAGUCCCGCAACGAGCGCAACCCUUAUCCUUUGUUGCCAGCGGUCCGGCCGGGAACUCAAAGGAGACUGCCAGUGAUAAACUGGAGGAAGGUGGGGAUGACGUCAAGUCAUCAUGGCCCUUACGACCAGGGCUACACACGUGCUACAAUGGCAUAUACAAAGAGAAGCGACCUCGCGAGAGCAAGCGGACCUCAUAAAGUAUGUCGUAGUCCGGAUUGGAGUCUGCAACUCGACUCCAUGAAGUCGGAAUCGCUAGUAAUCGUAGAUCAGAAUGCUACGGUGAAUACGUUCCCGGGCCUUGUACACACCGCCCGUCACACCAUGGGAGUGGGUUGCAAAAGAAGUAGGUAGCUUAACCUUCGGGGGGGCGCUUACCACUUUGUGAUUCAUGACUGGGGUGAAGUCGUAACAAGGUAACCGUAGGGGAACCUGCGGUUGGAUCACCUCCUUA
Molecule: ribosomal RNA, 1540 nt
Filed under: Klebsiella pneumoniae
Lineage: Bacteria; Pseudomonadati; Pseudomonadota; Gammaproteobacteria; Enterobacterales; Enterobacteriaceae
Description: bacterial SSU rRNA
Rfam family: Bacterial small subunit ribosomal RNA
Source: RNAcentral